RNAcentral lists this ribosomal RNA (452 nucleotides) under uncultured bacterium. RNAcentral's name for it is "bacterial SSU rRNA". It matches the Rfam family "Bacterial small subunit ribosomal RNA", at positions 340 to 786 of the family's 1533-position model. The record is from RNAcentral.
UACGGGAGGCAGCAGUGGGGAAUAUUGCACAAUGGGCGCAAGCCUGAUGCAGCCAUGCCGCGUGUAUGAAGAAGGCCUUCGGGUUGUAAAGUACUUUCAGUCGUGAGGAAGGUGUUAAGGUUAAUAACCUUAGCAAUUGACGUUAGCGACAGAAGAAGCACCGGCUAACUCCGUGCCAGCAGCCGCGGUAAUACGGAGGGUGCGAGCGUUAAUCGGAAUUACUGGGCGUAAAGGGCACGCAGGCGGUUAAUUAAGUUGGAUGUGAAAUCCCCGGGCUUAACCUGGGAAUGGCAUUCAAGACUGGUUAGCUAGAGUCUUGUAGAGGGGGUAGAAUUCCAUGUGUAGCAGUGAAAUGCGUAGAGAUGUGGAGGAAUACCGGUGGCGAAGGCGGCCCCUGGACAAAGACUGACGCUCAUGUGCGAAAGCGUGGGGAGCAAACAGGAUUAGAUACC